UGAGUAACACGUAUCCAACCUGCCGUCUACUCUUGGACAGCCUUCUGAAAGGAGGAUUAAUACAAGAUGGCAUCAUGAGUCCACAUGUUCACAUGAUUAAAGGUAUUCCGGUAGACGAUGGGGAUGCGUUCCAUUAGAUAGUAGGCGGGGUAACGGCCCACCUAGUCUUCGAUGGAUAGGGGUUCUGAGAGGAAGGUCCCCCACAUUGGAACUGAGACACGGUCCAA
Molecule: ribosomal RNA, 227 nt
Filed under: uncultured bacterium
Lineage: Bacteria
Description: partial 16S ribosomal RNA
Rfam family: Bacterial small subunit ribosomal RNA
Source: RNAcentral